Molecule: long non-coding RNA, 2510 nt
Organism: Salmo salar (Atlantic salmon)
Lineage: Eukaryota; Metazoa; Chordata; Actinopteri; Salmoniformes; Salmonidae
Source: RefSeq, a predicted model, not a curated record
CAGACACAACAACUCAAGACUCCACCUACCAAACCCUCAACACAGCAACCCAAGACUCCACCUACCAAACCCUCUACACAACAAACCAAGACUCCACCUACCAAACCCUCAACACAACAACCCAAGACUCCACCUACCAAACCCUCAACACAACAAACCAAGACUCCACCUACCAAACCCUCAACACAACAACCCAAGACUCCACCUACCAAACCCUCAACACAACAACCCAAGACUCCACCUACCAAACCCUCAACACAACAACCCAAGACUCCACCUAUCAAACCCUCAACCCAGCAACCCAAGACUCCACCUACCAAACCCUCAACACAGCAACCCAAGACUCCACCUACCAAACCCUCAACACAGCAACCCAAGACUCCACCUACCAAACCCUCAAUACAACAACCCAUGACUUCACCAUUCAAACCCAAAACACAACAGACCCAAACUAAAAUGAUGGCACCAUUAACUUCACACUGAGACAGGAUAGUGUUAGCGAAGUGUUAGUCUCUGUAACAUUUGUACUUGGAAAUCAAUUUUGGAGCAUACUUUUUCAAUCACAGUAAAUAUAUGUGGAUCAAUUUAAUACAAUAUAGUGAUGUAUACCUGAUGCAUAUAUUGUCAUCAUCUCAACAAUGUGUUCCUCGUCUGCUGAAAUAGACAUGGUAACUUUAGAACAGUGAAGUUGACAGUUUUAAGACUUAGUCACCUACAGGAAGCUGAGUUGUCUGGUGGUUUAGAAGUCUAACCUCCGGCCUGAUUGAACCAGUUUCACUCUGCAGCACAUAUAGACCUGGAGACACUGAGGUCACUACAGAGAAAUGAGGAUGUGUAGGCAAAUGCCCAUCCCCUGAACACCACCUCUGACAUGGAGAGAUAGAGAGAGAGAGAGAGAGAGAGAGAGAGAUAGAUAGAGUGAGUGAGAGGAGUUGGGUGUCAGAGGAGGAAGGAGCUUUCAAAAAAUAAGAAAGAUCUCUUCAGAAACACCCAGCUGUCAAACUAGUAACUGACAGACAAGCUGUUGUUGACCUGUGCUAGCUGGUAGUAUAGUAAAGUAACAUUAACAGUACAGUAACUGUGCUAGUAAAGUAACUUUAACAGUAUAGUAACUGAGGAGUAACUGUCCAGAAUGAAGAUACUCCAUCUUGUCUACUGCUGUCUCCUCUCAUAUGAGUUCUGUCUGUUUGUCUGUCUCAGUUUCUAUACUAAUGUCUGGAUCAUAUAGUACAUAAUGAAUUAGAUAAUUAUUUGUAAUUAUUUGUCUGUAAGUAACAUGUGUGCAGAUUUGAGCAGGGUGAAAGUAUGAUUUGAGCAGGGUUAAAGUAAGAUUUGAGCAGGGUCAAAAUAAUAUUCAUGCAGGGUUAAAGUUUGAUUCAUGCAGGGUUCAAGUCAAAUUUGAGCAAGAUUAAAGUAAGAUGUUCAGGGUUAAAGCAAGAUUUAUGCAGUGUUCAAGUUAGAUUUGAGCAGGGUUAAAGUUAGAUUUGAGCAGGGUUAAAGUUAGAUUUGAGCAGGGUUAAAGUUAGAUUUGAGCAGGGUUCAAGUAAGAUUUGAGCAGGGUUAAAGUAUAUCUCACAGGUCAACAGUUGUGACUGUACUGUGUGUUUCUGUUUGACAGCUCUGUGUGUUGUGGUGUCAGCUGUCAAUACUGAGAAGAACGUUUUAGGAGGACAAUUCACUGUGGGCUGCUCAUUCACAUUGGCAGGAAACAACAUCAAAUACUUCUGCAAGGGGACAUGUUCUGGUAAAGACAUUCUGGUUGAAACGAAGGGGAGCAAGACUGUAACACAGUAUAGAAGACAAGGGAAAUGUAUUCUAUGUGACCAUCAAGGACUUGAGGAAGACAGACUCUGGGACCUACUGGUGUGGAGUGGAACGAACUAUAAAGGGCACAUUCCAAGAGGUGCAUCUCACAGUUACAGAUGCUCCUCCUGAAACAUCAACAUUAAACUCCAGACCCAAUGUCUCCACAACCCUACUAAACCUGUCUACAACAUGUAUGGCAUCUGGAGACAUAAGUAUUGAUCCUUCUCAGAGAACAGUUACACAAGUGGUCAUCAUGGUGUGUGUGAGUCCUGUGUUGGUGGUGGGACUCAUCCUGCUACUGAUCUACAAAUGGAGGAGAAACAGGAAAACAUCAACAUCCAAACACUCUACCAGACCGUUGGUGUCUGACUCCAUGACAACCAACCAGGAUCCAGACACAGGAACCAUCACUAACCCCACCUACGCCACAGCAACCAAUCAGAACCCAGAUACAACCCGUGACAUCACCACCACCUGAGCCACUGCAAUCAAUCCUUGUGCAGGUGACAUCUACUCCAAUAUGGUCCGUCUACAAAGGUUCCAGACAGUGUGACAUAUGCUGCUGUCAACUUCCCCAGAGAUCCAGCCUGUCUCCACUACGCUACCUUCAACUUCCCCAGAGAUCCAGCCUGUCUCCACUAUGAUACUGUCAACAACCCCAGAGAUCCAGCCUGUCUCCACUAUGAUACUGUCAACUUCCCCAG